This 434-nucleotide ribosomal RNA is filed under the name bacterium B39. RNAcentral's name for it is "bacterial SSU rRNA". It matches the Rfam family "Bacterial small subunit ribosomal RNA", at positions 958 to 1392 of the family's 1533-position model. The record is from RNAcentral.
AACGCGAAGAACCUUACCUGGUCUUGACAUCCACAGAACUUUCCAGAGAUGGAUAGGUGCCUUCGGGAACUGUGAGACAGGUGCUGCAUGGCUGUCGUCAGCUCGUGUUGUGAAAUGUUGGGUUAAGUCCCGCAACGAACGCAACCCUUAUCCUUUGUUGCCAGCGGUCCGGCCGGGAACUCAAAGGAGACUGCCAGUGAUAAACUGGAGGAAGGUGGGGAUGACGUCAAGUCAUCAUGGCCCUUACGACCAGGGCUACACACGUGCUACAAUGGCAUAUACAAAGAGAAGCGACCUCGCGAGAGCAAGCGGAUCUCAUAAAGUAUGUCGUAGUCCGGAUUGGAGUCUGCAACUCGACUCCAUGAGGUCGGAAUCGCUAGUAAUCGUGGAUCAGAAUGCCACGGUGAAUACGUUCCCGGGUCUUGUACACACCG